This 125-nucleotide small RNA is filed under the name Marmota monax (woodchuck). The record is from RNAcentral. Lineage: Eukaryota; Metazoa; Chordata; Mammalia; Rodentia; Sciuridae.
UCUGGGCAUGGUGGCACAUGCCUGUAAUCCCAGCAGCUUGGGAGGCUGAGACAGGAGAAUUGUGAGUUCAAAGCAAGCCUCAGCAACAGGGAAGUGCUAAGCAACUCAAUGAAACCCUGUCUCUA